This 88-nucleotide small nucleolar RNA is filed under the name Strongyloides ratti. Its description in RNAcentral is "snoRNA SRAE_2000600131". It matches the Rfam family "Small nucleolar RNA snR60/Z15/Z230/Z193/J17". Rfam says of the family: The members of this family belong to the C/D class of snoRNAs which contain the C (UGAUGA) and D (CUGA) box motifs. Most of the members of the box C/D family function in directing site-specific 2'-O-methylation of substrate RNAs. The record is from Rfam by way of RNAcentral. Lineage: Eukaryota; Metazoa; Nematoda; Chromadorea; Rhabditida; Strongyloididae.
CUGGGAACAAUGAUGACCGUAUAGUUCAGCUGAUAAGUCUGUGCUGAAUAUCAAAUUUAGUCUUUCACCCCUAUCUGACAAUUCCCAC